GGUAGGUACUCGAGUGGCGAACGGGUGAGUAACGCGUGGGUGAUCUGCCCUGCACUUCGGGAUAAGCUUGGGAAACUGGGUCUAAUACCGGAUAGGACCGCACUUUAGUGUGUGUGGUGGAAAGUUUUUUCGGUGUAGGAUGAGCCCGCGGCCUAUCAGCUUGUUGGUGGGGUAAUGGCCUACCAAGGCGGCGACGGGUAGCCGGCCUGAGAGGGUGUACGGCCACAUUGGGACUGAGAUACGGCCCAG
Molecule: ribosomal RNA, 249 nt
Filed under: uncultured Actinomycetales bacterium
Lineage: Bacteria; Bacillati; Actinomycetota; Actinomycetes; Actinomycetales
Description: partial 16S ribosomal RNA
Rfam family: Bacterial small subunit ribosomal RNA
Source: RNAcentral